AGCAGUCGCCACGGUAAUACGAAGGGUGCAAGCGUUACUCGGAAUUACUGGGCGUAAAGCGUGCGUAGGUGGUGGUUUAAGUCCGUUGUGAAAGCCCUGGGCUCAACCUGGGAAUUGCAGUGGAUACUGGGUCACUAGAGUGUGGUAGAGGAUAGUGGAAUUUCCGGUGUAGCAGUGAAAUGCGUAGAGAUCGGAAGGAACAUCUGUGGCGAAGGCGACUAUCUGGGCCAACACUGACACUGAGGCACGAAAGCGUGGGGAGCAAACAGGAUUAGAUACCCCAGUAGUCCCUGUCUCUUAUAC
Molecule: ribosomal RNA, 303 nt
Filed under: uncultured bacterium
Lineage: Bacteria
Description: partial 16S ribosomal RNA
Rfam family: Bacterial small subunit ribosomal RNA
Source: RNAcentral